Molecule: ribosomal RNA, 497 nt
Filed under: uncultured bacterium
Lineage: Bacteria
Description: partial 16S ribosomal RNA
Rfam family: Bacterial small subunit ribosomal RNA
Source: RNAcentral
GAUGAACGCUGGCGGCGUGCCUAAUACAUGCAAGUCGAGCGAACAGACGAGGAGCUUGCUCCUUUGACGUUAGCGGCGGACGGGUGAGUAACACGUAGGUAACCUACCUAUAAGACUGGGAUAACUUCGGGAAACCGGAGCUAAUACCGGAUAAUAUAUCGAACCGCAUGGUUCGAUAGUGAAAGAUGGCUUUGCUAUCACUUAUAGAUGGACCUGCGCCGUAUUAGCUAGUUGGUAAGGUAACGGCUUACCAAGGCAACGAUACGUAGCCGACCUGAGAGGGUGAUCGGCCACACUGGAACUGAGACACGGGCCAGACUCCGACGGGAGGCAGCAGUAGGGAAUCUUCCGCAAUGGGCGAAAGCAUGACGGAGCAACGCCGCGUGAGUGAUGAAGGUCUUCGGAUCGUAAAACUCUGUUAUUAGGGAAGAACAAAUUUGUAAGUAACUGUGCACGUCUUGACGGUACCUAAUCAGAAAGCCACGGCUAACUACGUG